This 520-nucleotide unclassified non-coding RNA is filed under the name uncultured Glomus. RNAcentral's name for it is "SSU rRNA". It matches the Rfam family "Eukaryotic small subunit ribosomal RNA", at positions 569 to 1091 of the family's 1831-position model. The record is from RNAcentral. Lineage: Eukaryota; Fungi; Glomeromycota; Glomeromycetes; Glomerales; Glomeraceae.
AGCAGCCGCGGUAAUUCCAGCUCCAAUAGCGUAUAUUAAAGUUGCUGCAGUUAAAAAGCUCGUAGUUGAAUUUCGGGAUCAAUAUGUUGGUCGUGCCUCGGUACGUACUAGCUUAUUGGUUUCUCCCUUCUGACGAACCAUGAUGUCAUUUAUUUGGUGUUAUGGGAAAUCAGGACUGUUACUUUGAAAAAAUUAGAGUGUUUAAAGCAGGCUCACGCUUGAAUACAUUAGCAUGGAAUAAUGAAAUAGGACGUUUGAUUCUAUUUUGUUGGUUUCUAGGAUCGACGUAAUGAUUAAUAGGGAUAGUUGGGGGCGAUUAGUAUUCAAUUGUCAGAGGUGAAAUUCUUGGAUUUAUUGAAGACUAACUACUGCGAAAGCAUUUGCCAAGGAUGUUUUCAUUAAUCAAGAACGAAAGUUAGGGGAUCGAAGACGAUCAGAUACCGUCGUAGUCUUAACCAUAAACUAUGCCGACUAGGGAUCGGAUGAUGUUAAUUUUUUAAUGACUCAUUCGGCGCCUUAC